UAUACGUUUCAUCUUCUUCUUUUACUACUUUAGUGUUUCGUCUUCUUCUUUCCUUCACCGCUUCAAUGGAUUCUAUGGAAAAAAAAUUCAAGAAGUGCAAAAGGAACGAUUGCUGAAUGAAAAUACUCAAAGCCAUAUUAUCUUCAUCAUAGCGACACAUCUAAUCUAUUCCUUGUAUCAGAAUUGCUCACAGAUGACAACUAUGUAACCUGGAGUAGAUCAAUACUUCUUGCUUUUUCAAUCUGCAGUAAGCUUGGAUUUAUUGACAGAACUUUGACUGAACACCGAAAAUCUGCUCUCUCUCUGGAUUAGGAACAAUCAUAUGGUAAUUGCUUGGAUCCUCAACUCGGUAUCGAAAGGUUUUUGGAUGCUUAUGUUAUGCUUCAAUUUUGCCUACACAACGAACUAAGUUCUCUCCAAGAGUUGUUCCAGCUGUUUUUAUCGGUUUCUUCUCAUUAUGAACCACAAUUUUACCACCAAGCCUUGCCUUAUGCUCAUUGGAAAGAAGUUAUGAAAUUAGAACUUGAAGCAAUGGAAAACAACAAUACUUGGACGGUUGUUCCUUUACGAAGUAAUAAACAUAGCAUUGGUUAUAAAUGGGUCUACAAAAUGAAACAUUGUACUAAUGGAUCCAUUGAGCGUUAUAAGGCAUGGUUAAUGGCAAAAGGAUAUACUCAACAGGAGGGACUAGAUUUUCUGUAAACUUUCUCGCCUGUGGCUAAACUUAUCACCGUUUGCGUUUGUUUUACAAUCUCUGUUUCCAAAAAUUGGCAUCUUGAUCAACCCGAUGUUAACAAUGCAUUUCUCUAUGGUGAAUUAUUUGAAGAAUUAUAUAUGGAUUUGCCUCUUGGAUAUACACCACAGUGUGUUUUGCUUAAGGGGGAGUGUUUGGUUUGUCGCUUAAACAAGUCUAUCCGUGGACUUAAGCAAGCCUCUUGUCAAUGGUUCAUGAAAUUUUCAGAUACUUUGAUUCUAUUGGUUUUGAACAAUCUAAAGCUGAUUAUUCACUUUUUGUGAGAUGACAUGGGACUGAUUUCACAGCUCUUUUGCUGUAUGUUGAUGAUAUCAACAUCACGGGCGCAAACAUAGAGCUUAUUAAUCGUUUGAAGCUCUUAUUAAAUAAUCGGUUUAAAUCGAAAAAAUUUGGGUGCACUCAAGUAUUUUCUUGAGCUUGAGUUAGCACGAUCUACUAAUUAUAUUGCUAUUUCUCAACUUCAUUAUACUUUACAACUUUUGGAAGAUGCAGGUUUAUUAGUAACUAAAAUUGAAAAUACGCCAAUGGAUCCAUUUUUGAAAUUACAAUCUUCUAUCGAAGAUUUGCUUACAGACCCUGCUGUUUAUAGGCAUUUAUUAUGCAAUUGCUUUAAUUAUUUCGCGACCAGAUAUAAUAUUUACUGUUAAUAAGCUUAGUCAGUUUGUUUCUAAACCUUGUAAAGCUCAUUUAGCUGCUGCACAUCAUUUAUUACGAUAUUUGAAGGCCGCACUAGGUCAAGGUAUUUUGUUUAAACCCAUAAAAAAUUUUCAGUGGAAAGCAUUUGUAGAUUCUGAUUGGUCCUCGUGCUUAGACACCGUCGUUGUACGACCGGUUAUUGUGUAUUCUUGGGUGAUUCUUUAAUUUCUUGGAAGUCUAAGAAACAAAGUAUAGUUUCAAGUUCAUCUGCUGAAGCAUAAUACAGAGCAUUGACAUUGACAUCUUGUGAAUUAGUAUGACUUUCCUCUCUGCUCACAUAUUUGAGAAUCAAGGUUCAAACUCCAGCUUUAUUGUUUUGUGACAAUCAAGCAACUAUCCAUAUAGUCACUAAUCCUAUUUUUCAUGAAUAGACAAAACACGUCGAGUUGAACUGCCAUUUUGUUCGAGAUCGUGUGGCUGAUGGCAUUCUUAAGCUAUUAUCGGUUCGAAGUUGGUUUCAAUUGGCCGAUAUGUUUAUGAAGCCAUUAGGUGCUAUUCAUUUGUACGGAUUGUUAUCUAAGUUGAAAAUUAUAGAUAUUUACAAUCCAAUUUGAGGG
Non-coding RNA from Benincasa hispida (wax gourd), 2007 nucleotides. The record is from RefSeq and is a predicted model, not a curated record. NCBI's taxonomy places the organism in Eukaryota, Viridiplantae, Streptophyta, Magnoliopsida, Cucurbitales, Cucurbitaceae.